Long non-coding RNA from Amphimedon queenslandica, 787 nucleotides. RefSeq lists it as uncharacterized. NCBI's taxonomy places the organism in Eukaryota, Metazoa, Porifera, Demospongiae, Haplosclerida, Niphatidae. The transcript has 2 exons. The record is from RefSeq and is a predicted model, not a curated record.
GACAAGUUAUUUGAAUUCAAAUUUGAAAUACAAAUAAAAGCUACAGCAGAUUGUAAAGAGGGUGAAAAAGAGAGAAAGGAAGAAUAAAAACCCUAUCCUGUGACACAAUGUCAUUCACUUAUUGUCACAACACCAUUCAAAUGACACAUAAUAGGGCUACCAUAUAUGGUAUGAGGGAUUUUUCCCUUUCACUCGUUUAGUAUUAUAUAAGAGGCGACUGAAGCGAUCCAAGCACUGAAUACACUUUAUCUAUUGGGGUAGCAGACCAUUCCCUGGACUACAGCUGCGCGAGACUAGCAAGAGUAUGCAUCAGUGGUGCCUACUUAUAAUGUUGCUGAGAAGAAUAAGAGCUUUAGCGGAGCAAGUGGCAGCUCCUCCUCGAGCUCCAAUGCAAGUAACCGCUGGAAGAGCAGCAACCUCACCCGCCGUUAUUGUUGCUGGUGGUAUUCUCUGGUACAAGAGGGACCCGCCACCAGAUGUUCACUGUCAGUUCUUAGUGCAAUCUGAACAAGAGACCAGCUACUGUUAUAGAAAAUGUGAAAUGGUUGGAUCUCAUUCUCAGCACAGCAAAGUACCCAAAAACUGUGUUGUCUAGCUGCUUGAUCACUGACUGGAAGCCGGGCCACCAACUGUUGCAUUACUUUCACUGCACAAAUAUAUACAUGCACAUGCAACAAUGUGACAAUUAACACUCAAUAUGCAUACACAAGUAAAUUCUAAUCCUUUAAUUUGUAUCAAAUGUAUUGUGUCUAUUUUUGUUUCCAAUAAUGCUGAUCAUUUCUCCAAA